GGACUACCCGGGUAUCUAAUCCUGUUCGCUCCCCACGCUUUCGCUCCUCAGCGUCAGUAAUGGCCCAGAGAUCCGCCUUCGCCACCGGUGUUCCUCCUGAUAUCUGCGCAUUUCACCGCUACACCAGGAAUUCCGAUCUCCCCUACCACACUCUAGCUAGCCCGUAUCGAAUGCAGACCCGGGGUUAAGCCCCGGGCUUUCACACCCGACGUGACAAGCCGCCUACGAGCUCUUUACGCCCAAUAAUUCCGGACAACGCUUGCGCCCUACGUAUUACCGCGGCGGCUGGCAC
RNAcentral lists this ribosomal RNA (292 nucleotides) under uncultured bacterium. RNAcentral describes it as "partial 16S ribosomal RNA". The record is from RNAcentral.